CUGUGUCCGUUUCUAGCCCUUCAUAAUUGUAGGUAUUAAUCGAUAGCUCUCUCAAAUGUUGGCAAAACUCUUCUAUUGUUGAUAGAGGGUGCUUCAAUUGAAAGAGGGUGAUUGAAAUUUUGGUCGGACCAACCUUUUGUUCAUACCCAUUCCUUUGGUCUCUAAUUGAGUCAUUUUUUUCAUCCUCCUUCUCUUUCUUCCUUGGGUGAUUCAGUGACGUUUAUUUCGGUAUUGUCCACUCUUGCAGUGCUUUUUUCCAGAAUCGGUGCCGGUCUAACCCCUUCCCAUGAUUUCUUAGAUAUACCUCUAUUCGUCAUCAUAUUGGGGAGCUGAUCAGUUUCUCAGCUUUGGAAUUGGUUUUUUGGGUGUGUCGUUGGUGACUCCAAUUUGGCGUGGAUUUCAUGGAUCCUUUUUGGGAUUGGUAGAAAGUCCAGCGUUUAUGGUUAAGCUGAGCUGAGUUUUUUUUCUGGAAAAUAUUACUUCCGUCGAAAAAUCUGUUUAUGCAAUUCUCUUUUGAUGGUGAUUCCGUGAUUGUUGUCGUUCAUAUAGUUUGUUUAAUUUUAGUUUCUGGUAGUGUGAUAUUUGAUUUAUUUAAAGUGUCUCAUCAUUUGCCGUAACUGAAGAAACCGGACAAACUAAAAGUUUUUUAAAAAAAUAAUUGCACAGAUGGCUGCUGAGGUGACUGCUGAGGUGGCAGCACCAGAAGAGAGAAAAGCUAUCUUU
This 723-nucleotide long non-coding RNA is filed under the name Eutrema salsugineum. RNAcentral's name for it is "long non-coding RNA (ESAL_LNC001959)". The record is from RNAcentral. Lineage: Eukaryota; Viridiplantae; Streptophyta; Magnoliopsida; Brassicales; Brassicaceae.